AGAGUUAGGGAUAAAGCUGCUGUGACCUCCACCUCUUCAGGCUCACAGCUCUGAUCAACCCAGUUCCACAGACAGGAAAUCUGAUGCACAGCACUCGUAAGGGCCAAAGUUGUGUAGGCAAGAUAGCAGUUCUCCAGGGCCCAACUGGAGCGUGAGAGACUGAGCGAGUUGAGGUCUGAAGUCAUCCAGACUCCAACUCCAAUGAGACGUAUUUAUAAAAAUGAUAGGUCGGUGAUGCUAAACCCUUUGGAAAUGAAUUUGUUUCUCAGCUGCAGCCACAAACAUGCCUGGGGAAACCCAGGGAAUCAUGCAUUAUUUGCUAGAAACCAGGCUGCCUGUGUAAGUCUAAGGCAGAGGCAUGAUUAACUGUCAGCUACAGCAGAGGUCAGCUGUGAGCAUGUUCUCCUUCUCUGCCACUUCACUGCUCUGUGUCAGACUACUCCACUCACCUUCUUGAGGUUGAGACCAUGGGAGAUGUUAUCUGCUGUCAUGAAGGCUGCAAGCAGGUGUGUGAUGGCCCCCGCUUCCCCACAGUGUGGACGGAAGAGGAACGUGUUCAUACCACGCUGCCUAAACACACAGAAGGAGGACUCAGAGCAGAGGAACUCUCCUGAAGCAUCAUGUGUGUUCUCAUUUCAUGGCGUGAAAUGGGGCAGAUCUCUUCCACAUCAAAAGGAGAGAUCUCUUGCCUGGUGGCCUCAUCUUUU
This 707-nucleotide long non-coding RNA is filed under the name Gallus gallus (chicken). RNAcentral describes it as "long non-coding RNA NONGGAT005445". Lineage: Eukaryota; Metazoa; Chordata; Aves; Galliformes; Phasianidae. The record is from RNAcentral.